AGAGCCUAACAAACUUUUCCGCCUUCUUCUUGAUUUCGCGAGCUCCGAUUCACCAUGAGUGCUCCGAUCUCUCCUUUCCUCGUUGCUUCCUUCGUGUUUCUCUUGAUUCAGUUUCUUGAUUUCAUCACUUUUGUAUCGUUUUUCGUCGUCGUUGUCUUCUCUGAGCUUUGAUCUCGUCUCCAGUGAGAUUCGAGCUUUCAAUCUUUCGUUUCUGGUGUUACUGAGCUCCGAUCUUGCGUAUUUCGCGAAUCUGAUAAACCGAU
This 263-nucleotide long non-coding RNA is filed under the name Brassica napus (rape). Its description in RNAcentral is "long non-coding RNA (BNAP_LNC018620)". The record is from RNAcentral. Lineage: Eukaryota; Viridiplantae; Streptophyta; Magnoliopsida; Brassicales; Brassicaceae.